This is a non-coding RNA of Oryza sativa Japonica Group (Japanese rice), 1668 nucleotides long. NCBI's taxonomy places the organism in Eukaryota, Viridiplantae, Streptophyta, Magnoliopsida, Poales, Poaceae. The record is from RefSeq and is a predicted model, not a curated record.
GAAUCGGUCGUCGCUCAUCUCCCCACGUCGCAUCCCGUCGUCCCCAUCGAGCGAUCCCCUUCCUCCCUGAUUUCUCCGUCUAGAGGCGGCAUCGAUGCUCCUCGCCUCCAAGAUCUUCCAUCGUAGGUCGUCGCCCACGACGGCUUGCCAUCUGCUAUCCCGUGCCCAGAUGUUGGAUGCAUGAUCUCCUCCGUCGGCACAAUCCGUGUAGCCGCAUCCAUCGGCGUUCGUCUCCCCGUACGGUGGCGACCGGAUUGGCCACUGACCAGUGCCUCCUCUCCGUACACGAGAGUUGGGUUUUCUUAUGUUCAAGCUCCCUCCUCGGUUGCUCCGUUCAUCUUCACUGGAUUUCUCUGGUGAGUCUGCUGCAUUCUUUGCCUUCUUUUAUCCCCUUCCUUCACCCUUCUCUGGUCAACUACAUCAGUGGCUGCAAGCCUGCAAGAUGGAGCUGAGUUGGGAGGCUGAGCAAGCAGCAACAGGAGGAAUCAAGGAACAAGGGGGAAAAUGUGAGGGAGGAGGAAACUGGGAUACCUAAGUAAUUUGCUAAUGCGUUUUUAGGCUACCUAUUCCAAUCCCUCAUCGUAUGGUGUACAUUCAGAUUCAGAUAUGAUUGGCUUGAUAUUUAGGAGUCUUUAGAGGCCAAAUCAAGGAAUGCAAAUAACUAUGGAGUUGUACAGGGUUCCUUAAGCCCUCUAUUAAGUUCAACCAUAACUCGAGCUGUCAACUUGCAAGGGUUUUCAUCCUGUCUAUAUGGUCAAAUAUUGCCAGUCUGUAACUAAAUGUUGUAAGCCUGUGAGAUAGUUGCCAGACACUUAUAAUCGGUAGGUCACCCAAGAUACAAGUACAAAGCAAGAGAUAUUCAUCAAAGGGUACACAACAAUUUUGUAGGACAGCCAUGGUAUCUGAUUAUUCUCAAUUGUUCUUGAUCUUCAGACAAGUGAAAAAUCGUUGGUCAGUUUGAAGGAACAAAUUUCCUCUUGCAAAAUACCUAUUCCUGUCUAGAGGGCCAAUGCACUAUCCUCAGCUCAGGAAAACAUAAUGGAUGAAGCUGUCAAUUGUUCCACUGAGGAACAAACACAAGAUAAGAUAAUAGUGAACAUUCAUACUGCAUUGAUCUCUGCUCCGAGUUCUAAGCAAGAGAUGGGCCAAAUGACAUGCAUUUGUAGCUCAUCUCCUGAUGAAGGUGGUCAUCCCAGAGCUUCAGUAUUGUGCGAGCUAUUCUGAGAUACACUGCCACUGGAGUCGCUCAAAUAUUUGGGGCUCCCAUGUAAUAUUAUCCCACCUACCAUGGCAAGAAGCUGUCUCAAAUAUAGCAAUGCUCACGCUUCGGCCACUCUUUGUUUUGUGGUGGGAAGAUAAGACCAAGGAUAUGUUCAUCUGUAUUGGCCUGGGGAUCGACCAACUGAUGUUCUAGCUAUUGCUAGCUCACCAUGUCUAAUAGGCAAAUACUAAAUGAUCCGUAUCGCCGAUUCAUAAUAUUGAGCUUCUAAAAAUUAUCCCUACAAAGGAUUGUGCAUAUUCAGUCAAUGGUGCUUGCCAUUUCUGAAACCAGGCUACUUUCACUAAAUGGCACAAAAUGCCCCUUUGUGUUAUUUGCGAUAGCUGCAACUGUUGUGAUCGGAGAUGUUUUGCGAUAUAGUUACUACAUGCAUUGAUUCUUCCAUGCCA